ACCCUGCCCGUUGCCGGGGGGUCGGCGCCCGCUCGGAAACACUCUGAUUAACGACUUUUACUGAUGUACAAGCAAAAAUCAAAACUUUUAACAACGGAUCUCUUGGUUCUGGCAUCGAUGAAGAACGCAGCGAAAUGCGAUAAGUAAUGUGAAUUGCAGAAUUCAGUGAAUCAUCGAAUCUUUGAACGCACAUUGCGCCCGCCAGCAUUCUGGCGGGCAUGCCUGUUCGAGCGUCAUUUCAACCCUCAAGCUCUGCUUGGUGUUGGGGCCCUACAGCUGAUGUAGGCCCUCAAAGGUAGUGGCGGACCCUCCCGGAGCCUCCUUUGCGUAGUAACUUUACGUCUCGCACUGGGAUCCGGAGGGACUCUUGCCGUAAAACCCCCCAAUUUUCCAAAGGUUGACCUCGGAUCAGGUAGGAAUAC
This 422-nucleotide ribosomal RNA is filed under the name Colletotrichum cf. gloeosporioides ROG-2010. Its description in RNAcentral is "eukaryotic LSU rRNA". The stretch from base 83 to 236 matches the Rfam family "5.8S ribosomal RNA". Lineage: Eukaryota; Fungi; Ascomycota; Sordariomycetes; Glomerellales; Glomerellaceae. The record is from RNAcentral.